GUGGAUGCCUUGGCAGUCAGAGGCGAUGAAAGACGUGAUAGCCUGCGAAAAGCUCCGGGGAGGCGGCAAAUAUCCUUUGAUCCGGAGAUGUCUGAAUGGGGGAACCCACCUACUUUAAGGUAGGUAUCGCAACAUGAAUACAUAGUGUUGCAAGGCGAACGAGGGGAAGUGAAACAUCUCAGUACCCUUAGGAAAAGAAAUCAAUUGAGAUUCCCUCAGUAGCGGCGAGCGAACGGGGAUCAGCCCAUUAAGUUA
Molecule: ribosomal RNA, 255 nt
Filed under: Acinetobacter baumannii
Lineage: Bacteria; Pseudomonadati; Pseudomonadota; Gammaproteobacteria; Moraxellales; Moraxellaceae
Description: partial 23S ribosomal RNA
Rfam family: Bacterial large subunit ribosomal RNA
Source: RNAcentral